This 459-nucleotide ribosomal RNA is filed under the name uncultured bacterium. RNAcentral describes it as "partial 16S ribosomal RNA". It matches the Rfam family "Bacterial small subunit ribosomal RNA", at positions 339 to 795 of the family's 1533-position model. The record is from RNAcentral.
CUACGAGAUGCAGCAGUGAGGAAUAUUGGGCAAUGGGCGAAAGCCUGACCCAGCAACGCCGCGUGGAGGAUGAAUGUCGUAAGAUUGUAAACUCCUGUUAGAGGGGAAGAAUAAUUCCGAUCAAAUCGGAACUUGACUGUACCCUCAGAGAAAGCUCCGGCUAACUACGUGCCAGCAGCCGCGGUAAUACGUAGGGAGCGAGCGUUGUCCGGAUUUACUGGGUGUAAAGGGCGCGCAGGCGGGUUGGCAAGUCAGAGGUGAAAUCCUACAGCUUAACUGUAGAACUGCCUUUGAUACUGCUGAUCUUGAGUAUGGAAGAGAGAGACGGAAUUCCAGGUGUAGUGGUGAAAUACGUAGAUAUCUGGAAGAACACCAGUUGCGAAGGCGGUCUCUUGGUCCAAUACUGACGCUGAGGCGCGAAAGCGUGGGUAGCAAACAGGAUUAGAUACCCGUGUAGUC